Molecule: ribosomal RNA, 253 nt
Filed under: uncultured bacterium
Lineage: Bacteria
Description: partial 16S ribosomal RNA
Rfam family: Bacterial small subunit ribosomal RNA
Source: RNAcentral
GACAGAGGGUGCAAACGUUGCUCGGAAUUACUGGGCGUAAAGCGCGUGUAGGUGGAUACGUGUGUCAGGUGUGAAAUCCCUGGGCUCAACCCAGGAACUGCACUUGAAACUGCGUGUCUUGAGUGUUGAAGAGGGAAGCGGAAUUGCUGGUGUAGGGGUGAAAUCCGUAGAUAUCAGCAGGAACAUCGGUGGCGAAGGCGGCUUCCUGGGCAACUACUGACACUGAGACGCGAAAGCGUGGGGAGCAAACAGG